UACAGAGGGUGCGAGCGUUGUCCGGAAUUACUGGGCGUAAAGGGCGCGUAGGCGGCCCGAUAAGUCGGGGGUGAAAGUCAGCGGCUCAACCGCUGGACUGCCUUCGAGACUGUUAGGCUUGAGCAUGGUAGAGGCUGGCGGAAUUCCCGGUGUAGCGGUGGAAUGCGUAGAGAUCGGGAAGAACAUCGGUGGCGAAGGCGGCCAGCUGGGCCAUUGCUGACGCUGAGGCGCGACAGCGUGGGGAGCAAAC
Molecule: ribosomal RNA, 250 nt
Filed under: uncultured bacterium
Lineage: Bacteria
Description: partial 16S ribosomal RNA
Rfam family: Bacterial small subunit ribosomal RNA
Source: RNAcentral